GAUGAACGCUGGCGGCGUGCCUAAUACAUGCAAGUCGAGCGAACAGACGAGGAGCUUGCUCCUCUGACGUUAGCGGCGGACGGGUGAGUAACACGUGGAUAACCUACCUAUAAGACUGGGAUAACUUCGGGAAACCGGAGCUAAUACCGGAUAAUAUAUUGAACCGCAUGGUUCAAUAGUGAAAGACGGUUUUGCUGUCUCUUAUAGAUGGAUCCGCGCCGCAUUAGCUAGUUGGUAAGGUAACGGCUUACCAAGGCAACGAUGCGUAACCGACCUGAGAGAGUGAUCGGCCACACUGGAACUUGGACACGGUCCAGACUCCUGCGAGAGGCACCAGUAGGCAAUCUUCCGCAAUGGGCGAAAGCUUGACGGAGCAACGCCGCGUGAGUGAUGAAGGUCUUCGGAUCGUAAAGCUCUGUUAUUAGGGAAGAACAGAUGUGUAAGUAACUAUGCACGUCUUGACGGUACCUAAUCAGAAAGCCACGGCUAACUACGUG
This 497-nucleotide ribosomal RNA is filed under the name uncultured bacterium. RNAcentral describes it as "partial 16S ribosomal RNA". It matches the Rfam family "Bacterial small subunit ribosomal RNA", at positions 28 to 507 of the family's 1533-position model. The record is from RNAcentral.